AAGUUAAAGGGCCGCGGUAUUUUGACCGUGCAAAGGUAGCAUAAUCAUUAGUCUUUUAAUUGAGGGCUAGAAUGAAUGGUUUGACGAAAUAUUAACUGUCUCUUUACAAUAAGUAGAAUUUAACUUCUGAGUUAAAAGGCUUAGAUGAUUAUAAAAGACGAGAAGACCCUAUAGAUCUUUAUAUAUAAAUAUUCUUAUUUUGUAUAGAUGAGGUUUUAAUAGGGAUAUGAUUAUAUUUUGUUGGGGUGACAUGAAGAUAAAAAUAACUCUUUAUUAUACAAACAUUGAUUUAUGAUUUAUUGAUCCGUUAUUAGCGAUUAUAAGAAAAAGUUACCUUAGGGAUAACAGCGUAAUUUUUUUUGAGAGUUCUUAUCGACAAGAAAGAUUGCGACCUCGA
Molecule: ribosomal RNA, 397 nt
Filed under: Pholidoptera fallax
Lineage: Eukaryota; Metazoa; Arthropoda; Insecta; Orthoptera; Tettigoniidae
Description: partial 16S ribosomal RNA
Rfam family: Bacterial large subunit ribosomal RNA
Source: RNAcentral